CCUACGGGAGGCAGCAGUGAGGAAUAUUGGUCAAUGGCCGGAAGGCUGAACCAGCCAAGCCGCGUGAAGGACGAAGGUGCCAAGCAUUGUAAACUUCUUUUGUCAAGGGACAAAAUCAGGCUCGAGAGCCUGACCGAGGGUACUUGAAGAAAAAGCAUCGGCUAACUCCGUGCCAGCAGCCGCGGUAAUACGGAGGAUGCGAGCGUUAUCCGGAUUUAUUGGGUUUAAAGGGUGCGUAGGCGGGCUGUUAAGUCAGCGGUAAAAGCCCGGGGCUCAACCCCGGCGAGCCGUUGAAACUGGCUGUCUUGAGUGCUGGAGAGGCAAUCGGAAUUCCGUGUGUAGCGGUGAAAUGCGUAGAUAUACGGAGGAACACCAGUGGCGAAGGCGGAUUGCUGGACAGUAACUGACGCUGAGGCGCGAAAGCGUGGGGAGCAAACAGGAUUAGAUACCCCUGUAGUC
This 459-nucleotide ribosomal RNA is filed under the name uncultured bacterium. RNAcentral describes it as "partial 16S ribosomal RNA". It matches the Rfam family "Bacterial small subunit ribosomal RNA", at positions 338 to 795 of the family's 1533-position model. The record is from RNAcentral.